Molecule: long non-coding RNA, 4066 nt
Organism: Leopardus geoffroyi (Geoffroy's cat)
Lineage: Eukaryota; Metazoa; Chordata; Mammalia; Carnivora; Felidae
Exons: 3
Source: RefSeq, a predicted model, not a curated record
UUCACUUGUAGAAAUUUCAUCUAUUAUUCCAUGCCAAUGUUUCACGUGGGACGAUAGGACUAGGGGAACUAUCCUUGAUGUCCUAGGCAUCUUUCCGCUUUGUCUGAAUCUCAUGUCUCUAUCCUUGAAAUUGUUAGUAAAAUGUAACACCGGGGGAGCCAUGAUGACAGUUUGUCCCUCCCUGCUGUUUGAAGUCCUUGCUAAUGACCUACCUGUAAUUUUCAGACCCAUCAACAAGGAUCCUACAUGCUUUCUCAGGCCAGCAAGGAUCUAUUCUGGGCUCAGCCAAUUGGAUGCCCUCAUGUGGAACUCUGAAGUGAUGGAGGGAGUGAUGCAGAGACACAGAAACAUCAGAGUUACUGGCAGAGGGAUGAAUGCCAGGAAGUAUCCAGUGACAGCAACUGCCAAACUCAUCACCCUGCUCCUGUAUAAACAUAGGGACAGCUUAUGUUUAAAACUAGUUUUCAUCCCAUCCAUUCAGUGGACUAUUCAAUAUCCUUCCAAUAACAUCUUUUCUGCUUAAAUGAGGAUGAAAAAAAGGAAGUCAGGAUGGCUUUGUGAUUUUUGUAUUUAAGAUAACUGGUAAGCUACCAUGAUAAUACUGGUGAAGGAAUGUUGAUAAGGACAUUUGGAAUUAAAGUCUAAUUCCUAAUUCCACAGGUGAGGAAAUCAAGGCUCAGAAAUAUUGCCUACAGGUACCCAGUUAGUUAGGGUGGGAUGCAAAUCCUAGCCCUGACUCCUAGUUCCAAGCCCUUUUCAACACACCUGUCAAUGAAAUGAGGUGUAGAGUCCUGGAAAUUGUAAAGGUUGGCAAGGGGCCCUGCAUCAGUGUUUCCUAAAACUGCUUUUACCCCAGGGAAAAGUGAGACCUUUCAUUUUCUGCAGAGAAAAGCAAACAUUGCCCAUUAAGGUUUGUACACAUCCAUGCCACUCUGGGAACUGUUGCUGAUACGUAGCAGCAGGACAUGUUAGGAGCCACUGGGCUGUAAGGAACACUUGUUGACAGUGACAAGAAAGCUGGUGCUUAUUACAGCAAUGCAGUUAUGUCAUUGUGCAUAAAAGAGCUUGAAAAAUGAAGAAAUGUGGCAAGAUUCUAAAGUAUAUUCCUAUUACUCAAUACAACAGAUAUAUAAAAGCCUACUGUGUACAAAGCAUAGGACAUGGAAUUUAAAUCUACCAAGAUGGGUGAGCCACAGACUCUGGCCUUGAGGAGUUUAUAACUUAAGAGGAAAAGGCAGUUGUCACAAGCUUGAUCCAUGGGAUGUGUCUGGCAGAAGUGGAGGUUGCAGAAGAUGAGUGUAAUCUGGAAAUAUAGGCCAGUGAAGGAUUAGGAAAGAGACUGUUCAAAAAUCGAACAGGGGUGCCACCUCUGACUGCAAUCUAACAAAAGAAAAGGCAAGAGCAGAGAGCAAGAGAACAGUCAGGAGAUUUUUUUUACAAGAGGGCUGACAAGAGAUAUGAUCGUGUCAAGAGGAAGAGGAAAGAAAGGCUACUUUGAGAAUGAAAUUGCAAUUUCAUAGCACAGUAGACACAGCCCUUCAUAAAUGUACCUCUGCUUUAUCUCUUGGCACUUAAUGUGUACCUGGAUCUUUCUUAACACCUCUUUAAAAAGGCCUUCCUCUCUCACAUCUCUGUACCUUUGCACAUACUACUUUUUCCUACUUUCUGAAAGGCUUUCUUCUGCUCUUUACCUACAUCAAUCUCCUUCAUCUAACUUUCAUGUCACUUUCUCCAGGAUGCGGAAGGCUUCCACUUUUUCCUCCCAGCCUUGGCAACCGGUACUUAGUUAAUGGCAACUAAUAAUUAUCAUACUGUCCAUUGAUUAUCUAUUUUGUUAUGUUUCUUUUACUAGGUAUGAGCUUUUUGAAGUGGCACUGUCUUGUGUUCUAAAUCCAUGGCAUGAAAACAGAAAUAAGCUUAAUAUAUAUGGAUUAUAGAAGUGAAACGAGACACAAUGUGGAUUCAGAUCAGAUAUGAUUUGGCAACUGAUUGGACAUGGGGGCUGAGAAAAGAAGGGAUUGUGGAGCUGACUGCUUUCUCCCCUGCCUGGAAAGAUAGUAAUUCCUUUAAUAGCAGAGGGAUCAUGGCAGAAGGAGCAGAUUUGAGAAACAAUGAGUUCACUUUUGCAUUAUUCAAUCUGAGAUUGCUAUUGAAUGUCACAGGGACACAUCCUGCGUGCAAUUGACAAGUCUCUGUGAGAGUUCAGCCAAGUGUGUGAAGCAGAACAUAGAGAUCUAGGAAUCAUCAUCAGGCUGUACUUGUGGGAAUUAAAGUGCUCUCCUAGAGAAGAAUUAGAAAGUAAAAGUGCUCAGGACAGACACCUGAGGGAAUGCAGCAAUUCAAAGAUAAUGCUAGAAGGCUAUCAGCUGAUAUGUAAAAAUAAACUUCCUUGAGCAGUAACACAUGUACCCCUAGACCAGAGCUUGUGAGAUUUCGGUGCAGUUAGAGUCCUAUGCUCAGCUGUAAAAAGGUGAGCAUUGCUAUUAGGCAUGAGAGAACAGAGCAAAGCUUAGGAGAAGAAAUAGUUGUAAAUCACCUUUAAAAUUGCAGCUCUUAGUUCUCCUUCCUGAGCCUAGAGAACCUAUAGAGAUACAGACAAAACCUAUUACAAUUUCUAUAUUCCAAAUUGAUAUUUGCUCAAUUAAGUAAUUCUAAAUUGUAUCUUUUUUCUUUACAUUUAUGCAUCUAUGCCUGGGAAAAGGUUGAUAACUUCAACAGCCUAAGGAAAAUUUAACAGAGACAAAUUAAUUUUUUCCAGUGCAAAGUUACAAAUUAUCUAGAGAUUAUCCACUGCUAUGGAUUAUACAUGACUUGACUCCACUGACUCAGAUAAUUGAAUGCUGAUGCUAAUUAGCAAAAUUUUUUUAUAAAACAAUUUUGAUAGUGCAGUAAGCUGAUAUUUACUACUAAAACUCCUGAUGCUUUAUAAAUCCAUGGAUAAUAUUAAAUUGUCAGGACCUCAACCUGAAGAGUGAGGAGGGCUUAGGCCUUAUGGUCACACUGCUGGGUAGAACACUUGCUGCCCUAUGGAGAGGAAGAGAGGCUUGGCUAAUGAUGAAUGUUCAACAGAUUUGGCACUCUUGUCCUCAUGCAUGCCAUGUGCCACCCUCCCACUGUUAGGAAACUGUCAUCAGUCAUUUCCUCUAACAAACUGGAGAGGCAUAAGGUAUGCACAAAGCACCAGAAGUAGAUACUGCCCUUGGAUGAAAUCUCGUCAUGAAAAUUCCUGGCCAUAUUUUGCCCACUGCAUCUAGUACUAACUGACAUUGGAAACUAUGGUUCCAAUUAGCUUUCCAUUUCCUUUAAGUGUUUUUCUUUUCCUGUUGGCUUUUCUGUGUCUUCCGUAACCUGAAAAGACAACUGCUUCAUUACUUCAAAGAAAUUUUAACUCAAGGGCGUGGGGGUGGGGACUGAUCAACCCAAACUUAUUCUUUAGUCUGAGACUCACAAGAGAUUGUCUCUAAUCAUCAAUAACACUGAUAAUUCAGCAUCACACUGCCCCUGUUCCUGGAAUAUCAUGAUGUACAUAUGGUCCAAGGAAGAAGAGUGGGGAGCCAUCAGUAAGCAGCGUGUAGAGAGCAGAAGCUUUGGGGUCAGAAAACCAUACAGGGAUUUAGACUCAGAAAAAUUAAUAGCUAUAUGAUCUCUGGUAAGUUGACUUCUUUCAGUCUUUUCUCAUUGUCAAAAUGGGAACAAGAAUAUCAGCUCUGCAAGGUUGCCAUGAGAAUUAAGGGGUGUAAAGUCGGCACUAAUAUAGCACAGAGCCCUGCUGCAUAUUAACUGCUAUGAUAGCCCCAUAGUAAGUCAGGUACAGAUGAUGCCUGAGGUGUAAUACAUUAAUAACAGGAGUUAAGAAAAUGAGGUAUUGAAAAUAGCUACGAUAUAUUAUAUCCCAUUGUUAACUGUUAAUGGUGUCCAAUUAGGAAUAAUGCCUUUGAGAAAAAAUCUGUUCAGUUAGCUUGUGAUACUGAUUUAUAAGCAUAGAAAUGAUUGUAAGAAGUCUUGUCCUAAUAAAUUUUCUGCCUAGGAUUCUAUCUCCAACAGCAAUAAAACAUGGCUGUUGUUA